AGAGAGAGACAUGCGCGCAUAUCAAUAAGCGGAGGAAAAGAAACUAACAAGGAUUCCCUUAGUAACGGCGAGUGAAGCGGGAAGAGCUCAAAUUUGAAAUCUUCAAGGUUUUACCUUGACGAAUUGUAGUUUAAAGAAGUGUUUUCUGCUGAAGUUUUGGUAAAAGUUCUUUGGAAUAGGACAUCAUAGAGGGUGAGAAUCCCGUAUUUGACCAUUAUUUUCAGCUUUGUGAUACACUUUCAAAGAGUCGGAUUGUUUGGGAAUGCAGUCCAAAAUGGGUGGUAAAUUUCAUCUAAAGCUAAAUAUUGGCGAGAGACCGAUAGCGAACAAGUACCGUGAGGGAAAGAUGAAAAGAACUUUGAAAAGAGAGUUAAACAGUACGUGAAAUUGUCAAAAGGGAAGCGUUUGACACCAGUGUUGUUUUCUCGAAAAUCAAUUAAAAAUGGCUCGAUUUUGUAUUGCUUGAGACCUUAAAAGCUCACUGUACAUUUUUCGUGUCUUUUUUAAUGCACUUUUCGUUUAACAAGUCAACAUCAGUUUCUUUUGUUGUAAAAGGGUCAUUGGAAGGUGGCUUUCUUUUCGGAGAAAGUGUUUAUAGCCUUUGGCCUCUGCAAUCGGAAGAGACUGAGGUCUGCAGCGUAGACUCUUCGGGGUUAGAUACAUUUGUGCUAAGUUAUAGCUUUUUAUAGACAACUUGUUGACUAUAAUUAGUCUUGUAGCUUACUCGCUUAUGCUAUUUUACCUACGCUUAGGAUGUUGAAGUCAUCGUAUCGCGC
RNAcentral lists this ribosomal RNA (776 nucleotides) under uncultured Neocallimastigales. RNAcentral describes it as "partial large subunit ribosomal RNA". It matches the Rfam family "Eukaryotic large subunit ribosomal RNA", at positions 23 to 645 of the family's 3401-position model. Lineage: Eukaryota; Fungi; Neocallimastigomycota; Neocallimastigomycetes; Neocallimastigales. The record is from RNAcentral.